CUCCUUAUAAAACGUAGGCAUCCGCUAAGAACGGAUUUUACGAAACUCGACCCCUAAGGGGGUGAAACGGGGGUUGGAAGUUUGUAUGAAAGUCCUAUGUUUUUGAAGUAAGAGACUUAAAAUUUAAAAUGUAAGCUCUAUAAAUGGUGAAAAGGUGUCCAAAUAAUUUAUCUUUAGAAAUCAACUCCCUUUUGGGGUUAAAACGGGGGAUCGUAG
This 216-nucleotide unclassified non-coding RNA is filed under the name Melitaea cinxia (Glanville fritillary). RNAcentral's name for it is "misc RNA ENSMCXG00005020544.1". The record is from RNAcentral. Lineage: Eukaryota; Metazoa; Arthropoda; Insecta; Lepidoptera; Nymphalidae.